UACGGAGGGGGCUAGCGUUGUUCGGAAUUACUGGGCGUAAAGCGUACGUAGGCGGCUUUGUAAGUUAGAGGUGAAAGCCCGGGGCUCAACUCCGGAAUUGCCUUUAAGACUGCAUCGCUUGAAUCAUGGAGAGGUGAGUGGAAUUCCGAGUGUAGAGGUGAAAUUCGUAGAUAUUCGGAAGAACACCAGUGGCGAAGGCGACUCACUGGACAUGUAUUGACGCUGAGGUACGAAAGCGUGGGGAGCAACAGG
Molecule: ribosomal RNA, 252 nt
Filed under: uncultured bacterium
Lineage: Bacteria
Description: partial 16S ribosomal RNA
Rfam family: Bacterial small subunit ribosomal RNA
Source: RNAcentral